GCUGGGUGUGGUGGCACAUGCCUGUAAUCCCAGUGACUCGGAAGGCUGAGACGGGAGGAUUGCGAGUUCAAAGACAGCCUCUGCAAAAAGCAAGGUGCUAAGCAACUCAGUGAGAGCCCGUCUCUA
This 126-nucleotide small RNA is filed under the name Marmota monax (woodchuck). Lineage: Eukaryota; Metazoa; Chordata; Mammalia; Rodentia; Sciuridae. The record is from RNAcentral.